CCGCAGAACAAAAGACAAUAGAAAACAUAAAAAGACAGCAAAAAAAUAGAGAAGAAAAUCAGCCAAAAAACACACACUAAAUAUAGGACAAAAUACACAGCCAAGGGUCAUACACCAAUUCUGAAAAGUAUACUGAUUAGAGGUAACUAUUGCAGCGAACCACAACUAAGAUCUAACUUUUAUUGCAUCCAUGACAACAAUGUAGCUGCACUCCUUCUUCCCAAAAAUAAUAUCAUUUUUCACCAACCAAAUAGACCAAAUUACAAC
Molecule: long non-coding RNA, 267 nt
Filed under: Lupinus angustifolius (narrow-leaved blue lupine)
Lineage: Eukaryota; Viridiplantae; Streptophyta; Magnoliopsida; Fabales; Fabaceae
Description: long non-coding RNA (LANG_LNC000316)
Source: RNAcentral